Molecule: long non-coding RNA, 474 nt
Organism: Hypanus sabinus (Atlantic stingray)
Lineage: Eukaryota; Metazoa; Chordata; Chondrichthyes; Myliobatiformes; Dasyatidae
Exons: 4
Source: RefSeq, a predicted model, not a curated record
UCCCAGAGGAGGUGAGACUCCAACACAGCACAAGUGGCUUAUUUGACAAGGCUACAAAUGUGUCCAUGGAGAUCAAGUUCAAAACCUUGCGGGUUCACUCUCAUCAUGCUCCACCCUGGCAGAAUCGCUGCCCACUCAACCCAAAACCCACAGGUUUUUGAGACCCAAUCCCAGUGAGAUGUCAUAUCCUGAAGUACAUGGAAAGGUGAUAAGGCCCACUGUACCUGUAGAAGACCACACCCUGAUUUCCUUUGUCAGCUUAAACUGCUUCAGAUCCAGAGUAACAAGGACUCCAUUCUCCUUUAAACUUGUGCACAGGAAAUGACAUUAAACAACCUUGAAUCUUCAAUCUUGAAUCUUGGAUUGAGUCGCUGCCCCAUAACUCUCUGAUGAAAUAUUUGCAUUAACAAUAUAUUUGCUUAAACAAUGACUGCUGUUAACAGGAUUGGAUGAAAUUGCUCGGAAGUAUUCUUU